GAUGAACGCUGGCGGCGUGCCUAACACAUGCAAGUCGAACGGAGUCGUUUUGGCAAUCUCUUCGGAGAUGGAAUUCUCGACUUAGUGGCGGACGGGUGAGUAACGCGUGAGCAAUCUGCCUUUAAGAGGGGGAUAACAGUCGGAAACGGCUGCUAAUACCGCAUAAAGCAUUAAAUUCGCAUGUUUUUGAUGCCAAAGGAGCAAUCCGCUUUUAGAUGAGCUCGCGUCUGAUUAGCUAGUUGGCGGGGUAACGGCCCACCAAGGCGACGAUCAGUAGCCGGACUGAGAGGUUGAACGGCCACAUUGGGACUGAGACACGGCCCAGACUCCUACGGGAGGCAGCAGUGGGGAAUAGUGCGCAAUGGGGGAAACCCUGACGCAGCAACGCCGCGUGAUUGAAGAAGGCCUUCGGGUUGUAAAGAUCUUUAAUCAGGGACGAAGCAAAUGACGGUACCUGAAGAAUAAGCUCCGGCUAACUACGUG
RNAcentral lists this ribosomal RNA (483 nucleotides) under uncultured bacterium. RNAcentral describes it as "partial 16S ribosomal RNA". It matches the Rfam family "Bacterial small subunit ribosomal RNA", at positions 28 to 507 of the family's 1533-position model. The record is from RNAcentral.